CCCUCCUUUCCCCUCCUCUCCUCUCUUCUCCUUUCCCUUCUUCCUCUCUCUGGGUCUCCUCAUGUGUGCUUUUUCUUCUCCUUUUCCUUGGCAUCCAGCUGCGUUUCUGCAGGUCUCCCAGUGAGAGACAAAGCACAAUGUCUGAGUUGAGCACAAAGAAGCCACCUUUAAAAAACAUCGACUUAGAGGAAACCUGUGUCCUCAGAUAUCUCCCUCCCUUCCCUGCUAUUUACGGAACCCAGCGUUAUACUUAACACAGCACUGCCUGUUGUCUGCGUGAUUCCGGCCAGCAAACUCGGGUGGAGAAGGCAAUAUACCCACUGUGUGUGUAGAUAGGUAGAGACCCCGAUUUUCAGGAGCUACCUGCUUUCCAGGAUCGAUGUGUAGCCGAGCUCCGAAAACGCGUGCCACCAGAAAUGAUGGGAGACACUCCCCUACUCAACUCAGGAUGUCUUUCAUUUUUAUCUUCUGCCACUUUUUUGUCAUCUGAAUUAUUACUUAUCAUUACCAAGGGGCUGUAGGCGGAUCAGUGGAGGGUGCGUGGAUCUGAUGGACAUUGGAGGAGAAAUACUUCAGAAAGAAGGAAAAUGUCUGCGGUAGAAGUAAAGGGGUAGGAGAGGCCGCAGUGAGUGAUGAGUCCAUUGCAGAAGCCAAGUGGUAAAUUAGUGCAUAUGGCAAAGAUAGUCAAGGAGCAAAGCCUGCCGCUGGAAGGAAAGAGAUUUUUAGCGUUGUCGUCAUCUCAUGCCUGAAUAGAGUGCGUAUUUUAAAUAGGGCUUGGAAUCACUGCUCUUCGUGCCUCUAAACGCCGAUUGCAAGGAAGUAUUUGGGGGCUGUUGACUUUCUGUCCGUAAAGAAAACCCAGCAAGGCUCACAGAAUUCUCCACCUGCACGCAUACAGGCAUAGGUGCUCUAAAUGCCCGGUUGGGAUGCGGAACCAUUAGGCGGAGAACUGCGCCCUGGUCUCCUCUUCUUCACUCCUUUCUCUCCCCCACCUCCACUCCUCCCCUUUCUUUCACCCCUUCUAGAAAACGUGAUACCUGAUCUCUGGGUCUAGCAGGCUGAGGGUUGUUUGGUUUUGUUUUUUUUUUUUCUGUAUUCGUAUAAUACAAUGUCUGGCCUUCCCCCUGACCUGCUGGUGUAUUUUUGGUCUCAUUAGCAGUCAGGGAGAUGCCUUAGUGCAUCCGGGGCUGCGAGUCAGGGAUGAGACACUAUAACGGAGAGAGAGAGCGAACGCGAGAGGAUAUUAGAAGGGAGGCUUGUCUCCAAGAUAUGGAAGGAAGUGAGAAAUGACAGGACCGCAAGCUUUGUAUGUAGGAGCCUGGCAGGGCGGGGGAGCGGCGGGGAAAGCCAAGUGGAUUCUCAGAAAAGGAGGGAAGCCGUAGAUAGAGCUAACGGUGAUUAGAGGGGGGAUAUUGAUUCCUUAUUCUGCCAGAGAUUUAAGCAGGCAUGCGAGGAAUCUGCACCAUGGUUGGCAAAAGGAGCCUCUGUAACCAGACACUCGGGCUUUCCAGGAGCCCAGGGAGAGAGCUGAGAAGAAAGGGGGCAGUGUGGUCUAGGAAAAUUCAACUUGUCGCUGAUUUGUGCCUGAUGCUUGCUGUCCGUCAGCAGCCUCCCUUACAAUCUUUUUUUCUCUCUCUCUCUCUCCCUUUUUUUCUUGCCUUCUCCUUCUUCACUGAAGCCUAAGGGAGCCAGCAAAGAUUAAAUGUGCUUUCUCAAAGGCGGCCACUUCACGCUGCUAUGUCGAAAAGGCCAUUAUUAUUAUGAUUUUUAAUAGUAAAAGAAAAAGGGAGAGAGAGGUCGAGACAGGGAGAGAGAAGCAAGGUAGGUUGAUGACGGACUAGCCUUUCUGAGAGGAAAAGGAAAGUGAGAGAGAAAGGAGAGACCCUGAACUGAACGGAGGAUUGUGCCUGAGAAGAACCUACGGAGCAUGAGCUACAGAGUUACAGUCUCGAGAUUUGGUGUAUCGCUUCCUGCCCCCGCCUCCCUCCCCGCCCCGAUGUCGGUCCUCUGUUGAAACACCUCGCCCAGGCUAGCGCACUGCGAGCUCCCAUUUCCCCCCCUUGCUCGGAAUGGUGUUGCACGAGGGCUGCAGCCCUGCUCCGCUUCCAAUGGGAGCUGACCCCCGAAGAUCUAGCCACUAAGGAAAAAGCCAGACAGUGCAACAGUGAGUUUGGUCAGCCUGGUGCGAGACACUUGCUCUACGCUCCGUAGGUGAAGGUGCUCUUGAUGCAAAUUUGGAGAAUCAUUACCAUCAGAUCACGGAGGGACCCUGAGCGAGGCUACGCAAACGUCCCAAUUUAUGCUUAUAUGUUCGGGAGACAAAAAGGAGUCCAAGGGAGGCUCAUCUUGAGAUGAUAUAAGAGAUUACUCAUUCCAAUUAAGUAGGCAGAGGCCCCAAAGAAGGCUGACUUGUUAAACAUUUGACUCAUACUAGACACCAAAAUACGGUGGCUCAUAUUUUUAUACCAUUUGUUCCUCAACAGUCAUUUUAAUAAUGGGGCCCAUAUCAUGAAGGAGGCGCUCUGCAUGGGCCAUAUCUAGGCAACACCAGAGCGAUGCGUUGUUUUACUUCUCGUUUGCUCACGUAUACAAGGACUUUCCCUUAUUAGCUACCCCCAAAACUGUGCCAAGCGUCCUUCUUGACUCUAAUAGCAUUUUAAUGUAUUCACAAGUGAGUCCUGCACACGUGUGUCAGGGGCUUAGCGACCCCCGUCCCCAACGAUGUUCACAAAACACUGAGUUCUAAAAUACAGACCUCUGUAAGAUACAUUUUUAAUUACUCUUCCGGGAUCAGUUGCUGCAUGCUUGCUCAGCACAGAAAAAUACCUGUUAACGAUAUGUCAUACAGGGUUAUAUUUCAGGUUUUAGGGGAAAAAAAUAUCGUACCUGCUAUCUAGAGACCCAUCGUCAACAUAUCCAAAGUGUUUUGGGCAGAUAUGUGGCAGUAUAUCAGUGAUACGUGUUAGUAUAUCUCUUUUGCCGUGCCUAACUCAUUAUGCACCUUCAUUGUGCUGGCAUAAUGAAAAGGCUGACAGUAAGGGCUUUCGUUACAUCAAAAUCCACCUGCAAAGUAUAUUUCAUUCAUAAUAACUUUUGCAGCAUAAGAGAAACACGAAUACAGCUCUUCCCGAAUAUCCUUAUCUGCAAAAUGAGUGGGUUGGAUGAGUUGGUCUCUAAAUGUUUUUGCAGCCUUAAGGAUUUUUGAAGUUGCUCUAAAGUAUAGAAAUAGAAGAACCAUUCCAGGACCCUGGAAUCUGGAGUCUGUUUUUACCAACAGUUGUCCUUUAAAGUUAUAUUUGAUUCCACCUCCAGGUACUUUAUUUACUAACAUCUUUUGCCUUGCUGCUAAAACAGUAAAGUCUGAAGUUCAUUUUCAGGAAGGGCAGAGACAAAAAAGAGGAACAGCUGAAGAAUGAAAAAAGCUACACAGUGGGAGAAGGAAAUUCUUGAUCUGACUUCUAAGCCCAUGUCCUUCAGCAUUAACACAGAAGAAACCCAGACAAGCACCUGUCUUUCUAUUUUAAGACCAUAGUCUUUGGUCCUUCUGCCUUCAUUUAAUUUCUUGCAGCAUGGUUUUGUUUUACCCCAUUGGGUUGACGGCUUUGAGUUUCACAUUUCCCUUUCCAUUCGGUUUAUCUGAAUCAUGUUAAUAUUCCCUUCAAAACCCACAAAGUCACAUUAACACGCCACGUUUCCCAAAUUAAAUCUUAACAUGUUCAGGACCUCCUGAAAAUUGCCCUGCCCUAUUUUCUAAAGCCACUCCGAAUGUAUAAUCUCUCCUUGAAUUAAGCAAGCCUGCUCUUCCUGGCUUCCCGGUCUUUGAAUGAGCUCACACACUGCUAUUCCUCCCCGCACACUCUGCUCUCCACCACUGGUACCUUUCAGCAACCUUUCUCUUCUUUCUUUCUCUUUCUUUCUUUCUUUCUUUCUCUUUCCCUGCCUCCCUCCACCCUUUUUCUCUCUCUCUCUCCCUUCCUUCCUUCCCUCCUUCCUUCCUUCCUUCUUUUCUUCCUCCCUCCCUCCCUUCCUUCCUCCUUCCCUUCCUUCCUUCCUCCCUCCCUCCCUUCCUUCUUCAGUCUCUCCCUUCCUCCCUCCCUUUUGUUCUUCCUUUCCUCCUUUCUUUCAGUGGGCACCGUAUGUCGUGCUCUGAGCCAGGCACUAGAAAUACAAACACAAGAAACUGACAUUAACUCCUAACAAUUUCAGUGACUUCAUUCACCCCUGCAUUGCUAAGCACUUCUGUAUCCACAAUUAUUUUAUUUUGCCUUUGGUCUUUAGAUUUAUUUGAAUUUGUCCUUAAUGUCCUGUGUUCUUUUGUUGUUUUCCUACGUGUCCUAUUUCAGUAAGUUGCCUGUUGGAUAACCCUGAAGCUUUUCUGAUGGAGCUUUUUCUCCCAGAGUGAUUAGCGUGGGGUGCUCACACGCUCAAGCAAUGCUGUUGCUUGACUGGUCCUUGAGCGACGUGAAGAGUGAGAAAGUGCUACGUCUUUCUGGUGAUGCAGCAUUUCACGUGGAGUUAGAAAUAGCAUGGCCCCCAAAGUAUCGUUACGUUUACUUAUUUUUAUCGAAGAGUCAAUGUGAUAACUUUCUGUGACAUGUUCUGUUAUUUUUUUAGUUGUGUCGAUGUUCCUUUCAGCUGGUCCUAUAGCCCCCCUCCUCAGGAAGGUCUCCCCAGGGAAAGGACAAAAACUUCAGAGACACAGCCGCACUGAUGGACGCUCAAGCCAACAAUGGAGUUGAAACAAAGAAAGAGAUCGCCUGAAGACACCUUCCCUGCUAAGCAGCACACCCCAAAUGGCGCAGUUGCAGGCAAUAGAACUCUCAGAACAGGAGACCAUGUUUUCAAGAACCAGACAAAAUUUAACAGUGACAUCUAGAUUUCUAAAGAGCCAAGGACUUUCCCUUCCUCGUGUGUAUUCCUCUGUUUGUAUUUAAAUUCAGUGUGACAUUCAUUUCUAAAAUAUUUUCCCGGGAUGAGUA
Molecule: long non-coding RNA, 4979 nt
Organism: Neofelis nebulosa (Clouded leopard)
Lineage: Eukaryota; Metazoa; Chordata; Mammalia; Carnivora; Felidae
Exons: 3
Source: RefSeq, a predicted model, not a curated record